UUCCCCUAGUAACUGCGAGUGAAGCGGGAAAAGCUCAAAUUUAAAAUCUGGCAGUCUUUGAUUGUCCGAGUUGUAAUCUAGAGAAGUGUUAUCCGCGUUGGACUGUGUACAAGUCUCCUGGAAUGGAGCGUCAUAGAGGGUGAGAAUCCCGUCUUUGGCACAGACUACCAAGGCUUUUGUGAUAUGCUCUCAAAGAGUCGAGUUGUUUGGGAAUGCAGCUCAAAAUGGGUGGUAAAUUCCAUCUAAAGCUAAAUAUUGGCGAGAGACCGAUAGCGAACAAGUACCGUGAGGGAAAGAUGAAAAGAACUUUGGAAAGAGAGUUAAACAGUACGUGAAAUUGCUGAAAGGGAAACGCUUGAAGUCAGUCGCGUUGUUCAGAACUCAACCUUACUUUUGUGGGGUGUACUUUCUGUUUAACGGGUCAGUAUCAAUUUUGACUGUUGGAUAAAGUCCUUGGGAAUGUGGCUUCUUCGGAAGUGUUAUAGCCUUUGGUCGCAUACAGCGGUCAGGAUUGAGGUACUCAGCACGCUGCAAAGCCGGGUUUCGACCACGUUCGUGCUUAGGAUACUGGCAUAAUGGCUUUAAUCGACCCGUCUUGAAACACGGACCAAGGAGUCUAACAUGCCUGCAAGUGUUUGGGUGGAAAACCCGAGCGCAUAAUGAAAGUGAAAGUUGAGAUCCCUGUCGUGGGGAGCAUCGACGCCCAGACCAGACCUUCUGUGACGGAUCUGCGGUAGAGCAUGUAUGUUGGGACCCGAAAGAUGGUGAACUAUGCCUGAAUAGGGUGAAGCCAGAGGAAACUCUGGUGGAGGCUCGUAGCGA
RNAcentral lists this ribosomal RNA (822 nucleotides) under Tubaria confragosa. Its description in RNAcentral is "eukaryotic LSU rRNA". It matches the Rfam family "Eukaryotic large subunit ribosomal RNA", at positions 75 to 883 of the family's 3401-position model. The record is from RNAcentral. Lineage: Eukaryota; Fungi; Basidiomycota; Agaricomycetes; Agaricales; Tubariaceae.